GCCGGGCAUGGUGGCGCGCGCCUGUAGUCCCAGCUACUUGGGAGGCUGAGGUAGGAGAAUCGCUUGAAUCCGGGAGGUGGAAGUCGCAGUGAGCCGAGAUCGCGCCACUGCACUCCAGCCUGGGUGACACAGUGAGACUCCACCUCAA
This 148-nucleotide non-coding RNA is filed under the name Homo sapiens (human). The record is from Rfam by way of RNAcentral. Lineage: Eukaryota; Metazoa; Chordata; Mammalia; Primates; Hominidae.